This 765-nucleotide ribosomal RNA is filed under the name uncultured euryarchaeote. RNAcentral describes it as "bacterial SSU rRNA". It matches the Rfam family "Archaeal small subunit ribosomal RNA", at positions 98 to 879 of the family's 1478-position model. Lineage: Archaea; Methanobacteriati; Methanobacteriota. The record is from RNAcentral.
ACGUGGAUAACCUGCCCUAUCGUCUGGAAUAACCUCGGGAAACUGAGAAUAAGGCCGGAUAGUUCACAAUGCCUGGAACGGUUUGUGAAUCAAGGUAGGAUGGGUCUGCGGCGUAUCAGGUUGUAGGGGGUGUAAAGGACCCCCUAGCCUUCGACGCGUACGGGUGUUGGGAGACAUAGCCCGGAGAUGGAUUCUGAGACACGAGUCCAGACCCUACGGGGUGCAGCAGGCGCGAAAACUUCACACUGCAGGAAACUGUGAUGAGGGAACUCCUAGUGCAUGCACUAUGUGUAUGUAGAUCCUACUCUUAACAAGUAGAGGGAAAGGGCUGGGAAAGACCGGUGCCAGCCGCCGCGGUAAUACCGGCAGCUCAAGUGGUCGUCGCUUUUAUUGGGCCUAAAACGUCCGUAGCCUGUUUGGUAAAUCUGUGGGUAAAUCAAUCCGCUCAACGGAUUGAAUUCUGCAGAGACUGCCAGACUAGGGACCGGGAGAGGUGUGGGGUACUCGAGGGGUAGGGGUAAAAUCCUGUCAUCCUUCGAGGACCACCAGUUGCGAAGGCGCCACACUGGAACGGAUCCGACGGUCAGGGACGAAGCCUAGGGGCACGAACCGGAUUAGAUACCCGGGUAGUCCUAGGUGUAAACGCUGUGAACUUGGUGUCGGGGGUCCGCAAGGGGUCCCCGGUGCCGGAGUGAAGAUGUUAAGUUCACUGCCUGGGGAGUACGGUCGCAAGGCUGAAACUUAAAGGAAUUGGCGGGGCAGCAC